Molecule: long non-coding RNA, 712 nt
Filed under: Gadus morhua (Atlantic cod)
Lineage: Eukaryota; Metazoa; Chordata; Actinopteri; Gadiformes; Gadidae
Description: lncRNA (ENSGMOG00000032679.1)
Source: RNAcentral
AGUUAAUGUUAACUGAGGAUGAAAUAAAUUAAACUGAACCAUUGGCAAUCAUGUCAUUAUAAUCAUAAUCAACUUCUUUCUCAGGAGUGUGUGAAGGAGCUGAAUCUGAGGAACAUGGUGUCCAUCUCCAUGGAUGGACCCAAUGUAAAUUGGAAAUUCUUUGAGCUUCUACAGCAAGAGCACGCUGAGCAGUAUGGUGGUGUCCAGCUGGUGAAUGUGGGUAGCUGUGGCCUCCACACCCUACAUAACGCAUUCAAAUGUGGAUUCUCUAUGUGGCAACUGGAGAAGGUGUUGAGGGGGAUGCACUACCUUUUUCAUAACACACCAGCAAGGAGGGAUGACUUCAUUGCCCUCACCAAAUCCUCAGUCUUCCCGCUACCAUUCUGUGGGCAUCGGUGGAUUGAAAACCUGCCAGUUGUAGAAAGGGCCAUAGAGGUAUGGCCUUCACUGGUGACAUACGUGGAUGCAGUGCGGACAAAGAAGGUUCCAAACCCUGGAACAGCCUCAUUUGACACCAUAGAAGCAGCCAAGCAAGAUCCACUCAUCUUGCCUAAGCUACUAAUUCUUCAUGGCCAUCUCAAGGACGUUCACUCCCUUUCUGACGAAGUAUCAGACUGACGCACCAGUCAUGCCAUUCCUUUGCAAGGACUUGGUGGAGUUGUUCCAGGUAAUCAAAUUAAUAAUGAAGAAUCAAGAAGAAAAGAAAAACAAG